CCUACGGGAGACAGCAGUGGGGAAUAUUGGGCAAUGGGCGCAAGCCUGACCCAGCAACGCCGCGUGAAGGAAGAAGGCUUUCGGGUUGUAAACUUCUUUUCUGAGGGACGAAGAAAGUGACGGUACCUCAUGAAUAAGCCACGGCUAACUACGUGCCAGCAGCCGCGGUAAUACGUAGGUGGCAAGCGUUAUCCGGAUUUAUUGGGUGGAAAGGGCGUGUAGGCGGGAAAGCAAGUCCGAUGUGAAAACUCAGGGCUCAACCCUGGGCCUGCAUUGGAAACUGUUUUUCUUGAGUGCUGGAGAGGUAAUCGGAAGUCCGGGUGUAGCGGUGAAAUGCGUAGAUAUACGGAGGAACACCAGUGGCGAAGGCGGAUUGCUGGACAGUAACUGACGCUGAGGCGCGAAAGCGUGGGGAGCAAACAGGAUUAGAUACCCGGGUAGUC
RNAcentral lists this ribosomal RNA (443 nucleotides) under uncultured bacterium. Its description in RNAcentral is "partial 16S ribosomal RNA". It matches the Rfam family "Bacterial small subunit ribosomal RNA", at positions 338 to 795 of the family's 1533-position model. The record is from RNAcentral.